UGCCAGCCGCCGCGGUAAUACAGAGGGUGCAAGCGUUGUUCGGAAUCACUGGGCGUAAAGCGCGUGUAGGCGGCCUUGUAUGUCAGAUGUGAAAGCCCCCGGCUCAACCGUGGGAAGUGCAUUUGAAACUACUAGGCUAGAGUACGAAAGAGGGAGGUGGAAUUCCUAGUGUAGAGGUGAAAUUCGUAGAUAUUAGGAGGAACACCAGUGGCGAAGGCGGCUUUCUGGACCGAUACUGACGCUGAGACGCGAAAGCGUGGGGAGCAAACAGGAUUAGAUA
This 280-nucleotide ribosomal RNA is filed under the name uncultured bacterium. RNAcentral's name for it is "partial 16S ribosomal RNA". It matches the Rfam family "Bacterial small subunit ribosomal RNA", at positions 506 to 784 of the family's 1533-position model. The record is from RNAcentral.